This 634-nucleotide long non-coding RNA is filed under the name Nicotiana benthamiana. RNAcentral describes it as "long non-coding RNA (NBEN_LNC019288)". The record is from RNAcentral. Lineage: Eukaryota; Viridiplantae; Streptophyta; Magnoliopsida; Solanales; Solanaceae.
GACACUAUAACCUUUAACAAUGAAUUAUAAGAGAAGAGCUACAGGACUGAAAAAUAUAAAAAUUGAACCAGUUUUUCCAAAUGGGAUCAAGAAAAAUAGCAAAAGCAUUAUAAGAACAAGUUAAAAUGAAAUAGUCAUAAGCUUUGAUCUGACUCAGAUUGUUGUUGUUGUUGGGAUGUUUCAGAGUGGAGGAGAGGUUGUUGUGACUGUUUUCUCAAGAAAGGGCUUGAAAUGCAACAGCUCCAAUUACUACUAACCCAGAUCUCAAUGCUUUCAUUUUUGUCGUAUCCCUCAUUCUUCUUCUACCGCUGCUUUCACUCUUCUUCUUCCCUUGUACAAAUAUGCUGAAUCCCUUGCACAUUCGAGGCAUAGGGGUAAUCUUAAAUGUAGUAAAAUGAAAAGAAAAUUACAAAGAAAAAGUAUUGUACAUUUUAUUUUUCCUUCUUACCUUCAUAACUUGAACAAUAAUGGUAAGUUUGUAAAAGAGGAGAACGAAGAAGACUUUUGCUAAUUUGAUUUAGUUACAAAUGAACAAGAUCAAUUAUAUUUUUACUUUUCUAUGGAAGGUUCUAGAUACAAAACUAAUUUAGAUAAUUGUAUCAUUUUCUACCAAUAUCUUUCUUCAAUGUCCAAG